AGCAGUAAAAAACGAAAGUAGACGGUUGCUGUGGUGGAGACUCGGUCCCUCCAAGGUGCAGAGAGAGGCGUUUGAACUCCGGGUGAUCUGCCUUCAAACUGCUCUAGGGACACAGUUUUCAGGGAUUGUCACCCGUGUGGUAGGCUCUCUGGUCAUGCAACUGCGUCGGGUCAUCCGUGCUCCUUGGGAGGUGACUCUUGGACUGUGAAGGCUUCUAUUAGGAGCUGUUAUCUUCCCACGGAGGAUGAAAAAGGGCCUUCCAGCUGAAAGUCCUGAGAAAGGAUCUACGAGAUGAAAAUGUGAGGGGGGAAAGAAGGAAUUUCCUCCCUCCUGUGCCAAUGUGCUUUCAGAUGUGGAGGGGACUCAGGUUGGUUAUGAAAUCAUUCACUCUGGUGAGCCAGCAUGUUGCCUUUUAUGGAUGCUACAGCCUAGACUGCUGUACCGGGAGUGAUUUUCCAUCAUGUUCUCUAUAGAGUUCACAGCAAAGCCAAAAAUAAUAUAAGAUAUUCAAACCAA
This is a long non-coding RNA of Peromyscus californicus insignis, 516 nucleotides long. RefSeq lists it as uncharacterized. The record is from RefSeq and is a predicted model, not a curated record. The transcript is spliced from 2 exons. Lineage: Eukaryota; Metazoa; Chordata; Mammalia; Rodentia; Cricetidae.